Molecule: long non-coding RNA, 1105 nt
Organism: Thunnus maccoyii (southern bluefin tuna)
Lineage: Eukaryota; Metazoa; Chordata; Actinopteri; Scombriformes; Scombridae
Exons: 2
Source: RefSeq, a predicted model, not a curated record
UAUAAGCUGCCUCGGCCCACUCCCUCCUUGUCAGAUUGUCUACACUACUAUGCUAAGUCAUCUUGCUUUCUUCACUGGACUGCCUUCCUGGUUUCUGAUCAGCUUGUCUUCGACCAUCGCUCCUCGUCUCUGCCCCGGUAAACCCACCAGCCUUCUGUCCCUGACUCUGAGUUCUGCCUGCCUGUUCCCUGGUCUUUGUCUGCUGUGGUAGUGGAAGAUCGGGGUUCAAUUUCCGGUGGAGUCAUACUCCUUAGAACUGUGUUUCUCCGACCGUGCUUAUAUUGCCUUGACAUCGUGUGAAAUAAAGACUGCUAAGUUUAUACCAGUGUCAUUUGUGCUGCUAUUGGGUCCAUCCUAUACCCGUUACAGUAGGAGUGGGACGAAUGUCUCCUUGAGAGCUCUCCGGAGGUGAGAUGUUAAUCGCUUGGAAAAGAGCCGCGUCCGAGAGGGCCAUUGCGUGGAUGCGUGUGGAGCGUCUGGAUCUCAGCUGAUCAGAAGCGUGGCGUCUGGAGGAGAAGGGUUCCAUGUGGUGGUGAAGGAGAUAUCUCGUUGGUACUGCUGGAUCUAGUCGUGGGCGGUAUGUUGCCGAGGAACGUGGACCACUCAGCACGAGCGGGAGCUGCUUCCGUCAUGCGGUCAGAGGCUACUGUGGAGAGAGGAGAGACAGGCGACGAUACAGACAUACCAUGCACAAAGGCUGAAUUGGGGAGGCGGUUGCCAGCAGAGCCGGUGAUGUGUGAGGGAUUGGAUCAACCCUUUCUGGAGAUCCAGCAGGCUGGUUUCGCCACCAUGCACCGUAGCACGCAGUGGACUCCAUCCACAACCGCCUCCUCUGGAUGGACUCCCAGGCGCAUCCAUUGCAUGUCUCAAUAAGCAGCAGCCUGGACAGACAUGCCACUGCAGUGGAGCAGCAGUCCACCUUACCACCUCCCAGGCCUGACAACGUGGACACUGCACCUGUGAUGGCAUCCACCAGUGCCCCCCACCCCCCCACUCACUGUUUGCCACCUAGUCUUUCUCCUCGAAGAGAAAAUAAAUUAAGUUUUAUCUUUGUGUUUGCGUAAGUUUUCUGCACAUAAUAAAUUUGCCACAUUUUCUUGGGUCA